RNAcentral lists this ribosomal RNA (385 nucleotides) under uncultured bacterium. RNAcentral describes it as "bacterial SSU rRNA". It matches the Rfam family "Bacterial small subunit ribosomal RNA", at positions 28 to 412 of the family's 1533-position model. The record is from RNAcentral.
GAUGAACGCUGGCGGCGUGCAUAACACAUUCAAGUCGAACGGUGACGAGGACUUCGGUCCUCUGAUCAGUGGCGGACGGGUGAGUAACGCGUGAGCAACCUGCCCUAUAUUGCGGGAUAACAACCGGAAACAGUUGCUAAUACCGCAUGACGUAUUCGGAUCGCAUGUUCUGAAUACCAAAGAAUUUUGAUAUAGGAUGGGCUCGCGUCCGAUUAGGCAGUUGGUGGGGUAACGGCCCACCAAACCGACGAUCGGUAGCCGAACUGAGAGGUUGAACGGCCACAUUGGGACUGAGACACGGCCCAGACUCCUACGGGAGGCAGCAGUGGGGAAUAUUGCACAAUGGGCGCAAGCCUGAUGCAGCAACGCCGCGUGAGGGGAAGAC